GCAAGGAAGGGACGGUCAUUAAACUCCCAUCGACUGGCCCCUCCGAUCGUUUUCCUCGCAGAGCUUGCCCACGCUUUACGGCUAGGGCUUCCGAGGUCCAAGAUGUGCCCCAUGCGUGUGAACUGCGCCAUCAAAGCCAAGCAUGGGCGAGAAGUAGCCUUGGGACAGUAUCUAAUUCGCUUUCGGGACCCUUCAAGAUCGAUGGAAGACUUAUGCUGUUCCCCAUCGUCACGAAGACUAAGAACCGAAGGGAAAUUCUUUGAACCAUAGGAGACUCGUCUGCAAUGGGCUCUACCGGAAACUCCUGCCAUUGAUCGAAGCCAACGAAGCUGUUCCAGACAUGUUCAGCCCAACUUCGGUGCCAGGUUUUCUCUGUACCACAUGAACUUGUCUUCUAUCUGUGAGAAAUAAGGUAUCUCAAGGCCUCAACUUAAUGAUUAAUGAUGCAAGUGGACAUGUUCCUAUUAGCAUUUUCCUAUUCUUGCAACAUUUAGUUUGUCAUUUGUGUUGCGAUGAUAAAGAUAAAGGACAUGUUCUGUC
Musa acuminata AAA Group (dessert banana) is the source of this 540-nucleotide long non-coding RNA. RefSeq lists it as uncharacterized. The transcript is spliced from 4 exons. The record is from RefSeq and is a predicted model, not a curated record. NCBI's taxonomy places the organism in Eukaryota, Viridiplantae, Streptophyta, Magnoliopsida, Zingiberales, Musaceae.